CAUGUGUGUGAAGUUUCUUGUUCUAAAUCCACUCUGAUCCUGUAUUUGAUCAUGUCUAUAAACCCCUCUAUUUCAGCCCUGCUCAGAACAGGCUGUUUCUGUGUCUGUACCUUUAAAUAUGUAAAUGAGCUGUGUCUGACCACGCCCCCUCUCUGGAAGUGCUUGGGUGUACUCGGUGCUUUCUCGCUCCAUGUCCUAUUGUUUACAGUGAGAAGGCAGACUCAGAGGGCAGAACAAACACCUAGCUGUGGGAGUGUCACCCACCUGGGGGAGGGGCUACUGCCCUUUGUGAUGUCAUGAAGGGAAACUCUCCAAACGGCCUGUCUGCACACAUUUUCUGAAAAGUGGAGCAGGCAGAAGACGGAGAGGAUGGACUUUCUCAUCAUUGGGGGGUUUGUAGACGGACUAGAGACACAUGUUAGAGUCAGAGGAACAUGGGGAAGUAUGUUUUACGGAAUAUGUGACCUUUAAGGUUCGGUAGCGUUGUGUGUGUCUUACAAUACUACAAUUAAUUUUAUCCAAAGUGAAGAACAUCCGAGAGUAAGAACAACACAAGCAAGGAGAGAGCGAGAGAGGAGGAAACAACGUCAGGAAGUGUAAACAAACAGUUUUAAAUAUGAUUGGACACAACAGGUGCUGACAGGAAGGGACCAGAGACAAUGCACAACGGUGACAGAUGUUCUUGA
This is a long non-coding RNA of Labrus mixtus (cuckoo wrasse), 686 nucleotides long. RefSeq lists it as uncharacterized. The record is from RefSeq and is a predicted model, not a curated record. The transcript is spliced from 3 exons. Lineage: Eukaryota; Metazoa; Chordata; Actinopteri; Labriformes; Labridae.